GGGGAUAUAACUCAGUUGGUAGAGAGUGUUUGCCUCACAUGCACAAGGCCCUGGGUUCAAUCCCCAGCAA
Non-coding RNA from Ictidomys tridecemlineatus (thirteen-lined ground squirrel), 70 nucleotides. The record is from Rfam. NCBI's taxonomy places the organism in Eukaryota, Metazoa, Chordata, Mammalia, Rodentia, Sciuridae.